AUUAUUUACACAAAAUCACUGUUUAAACUUUAAAAAAAAAAAAAAAAAACUAGGCAUAAAUUGAAUAAAUAUACUUAUAGUUUCGUAAAAUUUAGUAAUAUUUAUUUCAGGAUCGUCAAUUUAUCGAUCGGGAUCGAUCAGUUAAUCUCGGCUCUAAAAUCUGAAGAUCCAUAUUGGUCCCAACCGAUCGAUCGAAAGUCUUGUAUUUGAUAAAACCGGAUUGCAAGGUUUAAUAUUCUUCUUUCCUAUAGUUCUUUUUUAUUGAACCAUAAGUAUUUUACGAACUAGCAUAACCUCUGAUAACAGCCUAUAUUCCGAAGGAAAAGUAUGAUUGCUCUGCUGUCUGUGUUCCCACUAACAACUUUUGAAUUAAUUGGUAUAUUUUCAUGAAAUUUUUUAGAUAUGUGACCUCGAAACCGCGUUUUUUAAUCCUAAAUACAUUUAAAAAUGGCGGACGUUAAACUUUACACGUUUCUUCUAACUUGAGGUGACGAGGAUCUAAAAUUGGACCAUUAAGUCCUCUUUCUGAUUGAUGAUAUAUUUUAAUCAUGCAGCUUUAACCAACGGACUUUUUCUUCUUUCAAGAACUACUUAUUUUUUAUUUAUAGCUUUGUUAUAUCUUUUCGUAACGCUUAUGCUGCACCAAACACGUAUAAAUUCCGUUUUCUAUUCCUUAAAUCGUCCAGGAUUGGAACGGUAUAAAGGUAAAAAAAUAAAUCAGCGUUGUUUCAUUCCAAAUUUUUGUUUUAUGCAAGGGAUGGAAUCUGAAUAAUUCACCAAAUCCGAUUGCGUAAAGGCAAAAAAGAAUAUAGCAGAAUAAGGCUGGACAGUAAAAACUCUAUUUUCUUUAAGAAAAUAAGGAGGAAAAAAAAGCGCACUUAAAAUAUUAAAUUAUUAUGUUAAGUCUACUGUAGCUGAUCGUAUUAGCGAUCCAGCUAUAAAAAUAUUUAUAAAUUCGAGACGAAAGCUGUAGAAACGCGAUAUUAGACGUUUUAAAAGAUGCAUCAUAUAUCCUCCAACACGUCGUAAAUUGUCUUCUAUGGUUGGUUCAGCAUUCCUACGUGGUUAGAAAUGAUAUCAAACUUUAUUUAAUUCCUAACCAAGAUCAUGUGAAAGCUUAAAAAAAAUCUUUAAAAUGGAAAAAAUAUAUCUCAGUCUUACAAAUAACUUAGAUUUUUUGUUAUUCUAUCAAC
Molecule: long non-coding RNA, 1193 nt
Filed under: Androctonus crassicauda
Lineage: Eukaryota; Metazoa; Arthropoda; Arachnida; Scorpiones; Buthidae
Source: RNAcentral